CGAAAUUAAGCAAAAGCAAAAAAUUAAAAGAGAAAUACAGAGAAACGAAAGAAAAUUUCAGGUCGUAGCUAAGGCAGUGAUGGGCCAGUGAAAAAUAUGAUUGCCGGCGAGAAGGGGUUAGCAACUAGCAGCAAAGCUUGCUCUUUGGAGAGAGAUGAGACUGAAUUUGACGAUGGUGGAGCUGGGUUUUUGAUAAUAAUGGAUGAUGAAUUGAGAUGAUUUAAUUGAUGAUGUAUUGAUGAACUUGGUCGUUGGGGAUGAAGAAGACGAAGAUUGAGGUGGUAGUCGCUAGGGAUGAGGGAGAUGAGGUUUGAGGUGGCCGCUGGGGAUGAGUGAGAUGAAGAUGGAGAUGAAGAUUGAGAGAUGGAGAUGAAGAUUGAGAGAUGAACUGAUAAAGAUUGAGGGAUUGUUUUGUUUUGCUUAUGUUCCCCCCUCCCCUCAACAAGGUGGCGGCUGGUGCAAUUGUUUUGUUUUGCUUUAAGGUUUUGCGGGUUUGUCUUGUUUGCUUUUAUUUUUUUUUCUUGCCCAAUUUAUUGUUUAAUGCUUAUAUAUUUUUUAGUUAGUAAUAAAAAUUAAUAAAUAAAUAAAUGGUAGUCCGGGUCCGGGUUCCGGAGAUCCGGGUUCACCUAAACCCGGACCCGACCCGGAAUAUAUCUGGGUUUGAAAAAUUACAACCCGGAUCCGCAUUGUUAAUGCAUCCGGU
RNAcentral lists this long non-coding RNA (703 nucleotides) under Citrus sinensis (sweet orange). Its description in RNAcentral is "long non-coding RNA (CSIN_LNC002905)". Lineage: Eukaryota; Viridiplantae; Streptophyta; Magnoliopsida; Sapindales; Rutaceae. The record is from RNAcentral.